UACGAGGGGGGCGAGCGUUGUUCGGAAUUAUUGGGCGUAAAGGGUGCGUAGGCGGUUCCGCAAGUCCUGUGUGAAAUCUUCGGGCUCAACUCGAAGUCUGCACGGGAAACUGCGGGGCUUGAGUGUGGGAGAGGUGAGUGGAAUUCCCGGUGUAGCGGUGAAAUGCGUAGAUAUCGGGGAGGAACACCUGUGGCGAAAGCGGCUCACUGGACCAUAACUGACGCUGA
This 227-nucleotide ribosomal RNA is filed under the name uncultured bacterium. RNAcentral describes it as "partial 16S ribosomal RNA". It matches the Rfam family "Bacterial small subunit ribosomal RNA", at positions 524 to 749 of the family's 1533-position model. The record is from RNAcentral.